GAGGGAGAGACUGACUACUCUAAAACGUGGUCAGAAACGGGAUUUGAGCUCCCACCAUCCAGCGCCAUAAUGGAAGUUUGAUCGGGAAGCUGCCUGCAGACAGAAUCGUCGGAAUGGGUGUCCGCUAGAAGGAAACCCGUCUUCCCACUUUAAAUAUUCAAUUCCCAUUGCGCAUUUUCACUGAGGAGUUGGCCCAGAAAAUGAAAACACGCAGAAAUAAACUGCAAGGAUGUUCAUUAGAG
This is a long non-coding RNA of Ornithorhynchus anatinus (platypus), 242 nucleotides long. RefSeq lists it as uncharacterized. NCBI's taxonomy places the organism in Eukaryota, Metazoa, Chordata, Mammalia, Monotremata, Ornithorhynchidae. The transcript has 2 exons. The record is from RefSeq and is a predicted model, not a curated record.